This 1059-nucleotide ribosomal RNA is filed under the name Nocardia cyriacigeorgica. Its description in RNAcentral is "bacterial SSU rRNA". It matches the Rfam family "Bacterial small subunit ribosomal RNA", at positions 361 to 1431 of the family's 1533-position model. The record is from RNAcentral. Lineage: Bacteria; Bacillati; Actinomycetota; Actinomycetes; Mycobacteriales; Nocardiaceae.
AUAUUGCACAAUGGGCGAAAGCCUGAUGCAGCGACGCCGCGUGAGGGAUGACGGCCUUCGGGUUGUAAACCUCUUUCGACAGGGACGAAGCGCAAGUGACGGUACCUGUAGAAGAAGCACCGGCCAACUACGUGCCAGCAGCCGCGGUAAUACGUAGGGUGCGAGCGUUGUCCGGAAUUACUGGGCGUAAAGAGCUUGUAGGCGGCUUGUCGCGUCGAUCGUGAAAACUUGGGGCUCAACCCCAAGCUUGCGGUCGAUACGGGCAGGCUUGAGUACUUCAGGGGAGACUGGAAUUCCUGGUGUAGCGGUGAAAUGCGCAGAUAUCAGGAGGAACACCGGUGGCGAAGGCGGGUCUCUGGGAAGUAACUGACGCUGAGAAGCGAAAGCGUGGGUAGCGAACAGGAUUAGAUACCCUGGUAGUCCACGCCGUAAACGGUGGGUACUAGGUGUGGGUUUCCUUCCACGGGAUCCGUGCCGUAGCUAACGCAUUAAGUACCCCGCCUGGGGAGUACGGCCGCAAGGCUAAAACUCAAAGGAAUUGACGGGGGCCCGCACAAGCGGCGGAGCAUGUGGAUUAAUUCGAUGCAACGCGAAGAACCUUACCUGGGUUUGACAUACACCGGAAACCUGCAGAGAUGUAGGCCCCCUUGUGGUCGGUGUACAGGUGGUGCAUGGCUGUCGUCAGCUCGUGUCGUGAGAUGUUGGGUUAAGUCCCGCAACGAGCGCAACCCUUAUCUUAUGUUGCCAGCGCGUAAUGGCGGGGACUCGUGAGAGACUGCCGGGGUCAACUCGGAGGAAGGUGGGGACGACGUCAAGUCAUCAUGCCCCUUAUGUCCAGGGCUUCACACAUGCUACAAUGGCCGGUACAGAGGGCUGCGAUACCGUGAGGUGGAGCGAAUCCCUUAAAGCCGGUCUCAGUUCGGAUCGGGGUCUGCAACUCGACCCCGUGAAGUUGGAGUCGCUAGUAAUCGCAGAUCAGCAACGCUGCGGUGAAUACGUUCCCGGGCCUUGUACACACCGCCCGUCACGUCAUGAAAGUCGGUAACACCCGAAGCCGGU